This 673-nucleotide ribosomal RNA is filed under the name Bacillus pumilus. Its description in RNAcentral is "bacterial SSU rRNA". It matches the Rfam family "Bacterial small subunit ribosomal RNA", at positions 558 to 1232 of the family's 1533-position model. The record is from RNAcentral. Lineage: Bacteria; Bacillati; Bacillota; Bacilli; Caryophanales; Bacillaceae.
GCGUAAGGGCUCGCAGGCGGUUUCUUAAGUCUGAUGUGAAAGCCCCCGGCUCAACCGGGGAGGGUCAUUGGAAACUGGGAAACUUGAGUGCAGAAGAGGAGAGUGGAAUUCCACGUGUAGCGGUGAAAUGCGUAGAGAUGUGGAGGAACACCAGUGGCGAAGGCGACUCUCUGGUCUGUAACUGACGCUGAGGAGCGAAAGCGUGGGGAGCGAACAGGAUUAGAUACCCUGGUAGUCCACGCCGUAAACGAUGAGUGCUAAGUGUUAGGGGGUUUCCGCCCCUUAGUGCUGCAGCUAACGCAUUAAGCACUCCGCCUGGGGAGUACGGUCGCAAGACUGAAACUCAAAGGAAUUGACGGGGGCCCGCACAAGCGGUGGAGCAUGUGGUUUAAUUCGAAGCAACGCGAAGAACCUUACCAGGUCUUGACAUCCUCUGACAACCCUAGAGAUAGGGCUUCCCCUUCGGGAACAGAGUGACAGGUGGUGCAUGGUUGUCGUCAGCUCGUGUCGUGAGAUGUUGGGUUAAGUCCCGCAACGAGCGCAACCCUUGAUCUUAGUUGCCAUCAUUCAGUUGGGCACUCUAAGGUGACUGCCGGUGACAAACCGGAGGAAAGUGGGGAUGACGUCAAAUCAUCAUGCCCCUUAUGACCUGGGCUACACACGUGCUACAAUG